ACAUACACUCUAAAAACCGUUGGGUUAUUUGUUUUACCCAACAGGUGGGUUAAACAUAUUGGGUUGUUGUGUUGGGUUAUUCCUAGCUUGUAUUGGGUUAUUUCUAUAACAACCCAGACCGAUGGGUUAAAAUCGGGCUCACGUCACGCAUUUUGAAUUUCAAUGGUCGACAGGUGCCACUGCUGAGUGCGGACAGACACGAGAGACAUUCUUGGAGAUGUUGCAUUAAAAACCUUUCAAAAUGGCCAGCAAGAUGGUUCAGCCUUCCUACAGUACCAAGAAGCAAAGCAAGCAUUUAUAAAUUUUCAACCUGUCAGAAAACAAACAUAAUUCAGUAUUUGGAGGUGGAGGUAGGACGAAGACCCCAUGUCCUGUUAUGGGAUGAAUUCGACUAAUCACAAGCCUUUGUUAUCGUGGGGAGGCAUGGCCCAGGAGCAAGACCAGCAGUUGAC
Non-coding RNA from Misgurnus anguillicaudatus (oriental weatherfish), 452 nucleotides. The record is from RefSeq and is a predicted model, not a curated record. NCBI's taxonomy places the organism in Eukaryota, Metazoa, Chordata, Actinopteri, Cypriniformes, Cobitidae.